This 704-nucleotide ribosomal RNA is filed under the name Boana raniceps (Chaco treefrog). Its description in RNAcentral is "partial 16S ribosomal RNA". It matches the Rfam family "Bacterial large subunit ribosomal RNA", at positions 1926 to 2840 of the family's 2925-position model. Lineage: Eukaryota; Metazoa; Chordata; Amphibia; Anura; Hylidae. The record is from RNAcentral.
AACGGCCGCGGUAUCCUAACCGUGCGAAGGUAGCGUAAUCACUUGUUCUUUAAAUGAGGACUAGUAUGAAUGGCACCACGAGGGUUAAACUGUCUCCUUUUUUUAAUCAGUGAAACUAAUCUCCCCGUGAAGAAGCGGGGAUUCUUUUAUAAGACGAGAAGACCCUAUGGAGCUUUAAACAAGUUAACACCUGCUACUAAUCNNUUCACUUUCCUGAACCACCACAUUAAGUAUAGCACCUCUGAUUAACAGUUUUCGAUUGGGGUGAUCAUGGAGCAAAAAUCAACCUCCACGACGAAUAAGGAACACCUCCUUGAGCCAAAAGCUACAACUUUAAGCACUAAAAAACUAACGCACUUUGACCCAAUUCUUUGAGCAACGAACCAAGUUACCCUAGGGAUAACAGCGCAAUCCACUUUAAGAGCUCCUAUCGACAAGUGGGUUUACGACCUCGAUGUUGGAUCAGGGUAUCCCAGUGGUGCAGCCGCUACUAAAGGUUCGUUUGUUCAACGAUUAAAACCCUACGUGAUCUGAGUUCAGACCGGAGUAAUCCAGGUCAGUUUCUAUCUAUAAAGGGCUUUUUCUAGUACGAAAGGACCGAAAAAGCAUGGCCUAUAACCCAUCAAGCCAUAUAAAUUACUAUUGUUCCCAACUUAAAUAGAAGUAAACCUACCACUUAUCUCGAUAAAAGAGAAGUUAACGUA